This 2271-nucleotide long non-coding RNA is filed under the name Spirodela polyrhiza (greater duckweed). RNAcentral's name for it is "long non-coding RNA (SPOL_LNC000652)". The record is from RNAcentral. Lineage: Eukaryota; Viridiplantae; Streptophyta; Magnoliopsida; Alismatales; Araceae.
GGGGAUCAUGGCAUGGCGGCGGCGGUGGUGUUGCACAUGCAUUCGGGGAUGGGGUAGGCGGUGACGUCCUUUCCGAUCUUGUCAGUUCUGAGCUCCGGCUGACCCAGGGAGGCGUUGUGGAGCUCCCUGAUGAUCUGGACGAAGUCUGCUUCGGGGAGGGAGGCGUUGAGGAAGUGGGGCACCAUCUGCCGCUUGUUCGGGGUGAUGAACUUCCUGUGCCCUGCGAAGGCUCUGUGCCCCUGCGCAGAGAUCGUCGGAGAUUGUCGGAGGAGGAAGAAGGAGAAGGAAGAUGGAGAUUUGGAGGAGCUUCGCUUCCUGUACCUUCAGGAUGCGGCCCAUGUUCCCGCCGUGGGAGGGCAUGAAGACGUCGCUCUUCUCGGAGAUGAUGAAGUCGACGGCGGCGAGGAUGGAGGACCUGUUGGCAAACGGGUCCAGUUCCCCCGGCGAGGAGAGAUUGUACUUGUUGUACAGAUGGGGGAACUCCUCCAUCAGGGGGAGAAGGGCGGCGGCGCCGCCGAAGGGCUCCCCACCGGCCCAGAAUAUGUUGGCUCCCCGCGGAGCCCCGAGGGCUUUGAGCAACCUCGUGACUUCCGACAUGGUCAACGGGCAGAGGCCGGCGGCCUUGCGCUCUUGGUACCUCAUCUUCGUCUUCCCGGUGAGCAGCUCCGGCCGGCUCUCCCUCUCCCUGCUGAUGACCUCGUCGUGCUCCGGGCUCAGCCCCGGCAAGCAACCGGUCCUCACCCAGACGUCCUUCUCCAUCCGCAGGUGCAGAGCGAUGUACGGCCCUUUGCUCCUCAUCCUCGUGGCCAACCUGUUGCCCAGUUCCCGGACGGGAGCUGAGAAUCUCAGGGCGUCGAAUGCCACCUAGGAAAAAAGAAAGAAGCAAGUCAACGACCCUUCAGAAGUCAUAGAGAGAGAGAGGAGGUAGAGAGAGAGAGAGAGAGAGAGAGAGAGGAGGGUGAGACCUUGCAGCGGAGCUUCUGGAGGUCAGAAGGUAGGUCCUUGGAGAGCCUGGAGUCGAAGCCACGGAGGACGAGGACGCCCUCGCGGGUGAGGCGUUUGAGGUAUUUGGAGCGGAUCCAGCGGUCGGAGACGCGCGGCGGCGUUGGGAGCUGCUCCACCGGCCGCCGCGUCAGGUGGGUGGUGGGCAGCGACGACACCACCCUCACGUCGUCCGCCAGGACGCGCUUGAAGUGCUCCAGGUCGAAGAUGUCCGCGAACUCGCUGCCAUCGCCAAACAAACCAAGAAACAACAAGAACCCGGUUAAUUUCGCCUUCUCGAUCGAGAACUGUUCGCCAUGAUCACGGGUUCUCAUGGCAGAGGGCGGCGAGCUCGACCAGGAAUCACGGGCGGGACGAAACCCCGGAAAGGAGACAGAUUUUUGCGAUUCAAAUUUCCGGGGAACCAGACGAGCCCCACCCUGUCGGCGGAAAUCGGCGGCGAUCGAGCUCGUCUACUCCUGAGAGGAAGAGAAAUCCGGAGGCGAGCGGGGGCCUCGGAUUCCAUGGGCGACGGACGCCAGAGCUCAACCAGAGCCGUACCCAGCUGUCACCUCGGGGCCCCCCCUUCCUUCUCCGCCAGCAUACAACCAUCUGAUUCCAGCCGGGUCCUGUCCAUAUUCCUGGUCCUCCAUGUCGCCGGAACCAGAGUUUUCGACCGGGAAGACGGAGAUGAAGACGAGGACGAAGACGAAGACGAGGACGAAGACGAAGACGAAGACGAAGAUGAGGACCAGUGGGUGGAGGUCGAGGAUCACCUUUCGUCUCCCCAGACGAUGUUGACCUGAAGAACAGGGGCGACGAGGGCGGCGCCGAGAAUCCGAGCGAUCACCACGGCGUCGACGAUCUGGUUCCGCUGCUGGUUCAGGCCUCCGGAGACGCCCACCACGAGGUACUUAUUCCGGUCCCUCUUGAUCUCCGCAGACGCCCGCCGGUACCCCUUGCUGAAAUCCAAGCACGGCCGGUACCCCAUCCCGUCCGGCUGCUCCCAGAACUCCCCACCUCCUCCGUCGCCGCCGCCGGCGGGCGUCGCCGCCGGCUGAGAGUCGCCGGCCGUCGACAAGAACAGGGGAGGCGCAUCUGGGCGAGGAGUGGCGCAGGGGAUGGAGGCUACGGGGACGAGGGGGUCGAGUUGGAUGCUGACUUUUAGCAUCCCCACGAAUGCGAACAGGCAGAGGAAGACGAGGAACCCCGGGUUUCUGGCGGCGGCGAGCAAGCGGCUGCGCGGCCUCGCGCCCUUCUUCGGCGAGAGGAGGAGCCCCUGCAAGGACG